UACAGAGGUCCCAAGCGUUGUUCGGAUUCAUUGGGCGUAAAGGGUGCGUAGGCGGCGCGGUAAGUCGGGUGUGAAAUCUCGGAGCUUAACUCCGAAACUGCAUUCGAUACUGCCGUGCUUGAGGACUGGAGAGGAGACUGGAAUUUACGGUGUAGCGGUGAAAUGCGUAGAUAUCGUAAGGAAGACCAGUGGCGAAGGCGGGUCUCUGGACAGUUCCUGACGCUGAGGCACGAAGGCUAGGGGAGCAAACGGG
This 253-nucleotide ribosomal RNA is filed under the name uncultured bacterium. RNAcentral's name for it is "partial 16S ribosomal RNA". It matches the Rfam family "Bacterial small subunit ribosomal RNA", at positions 524 to 776 of the family's 1533-position model. The record is from RNAcentral.